GGCAAACGGGUGAGUAAUACAUGGGUAAUUUGCCUUUAGGUCUGGAAUAACCGUGAGAAAUCGCGGCUAAUACCGGAUAAUAAUCUUGAAACAUAAGUUUCUUGAUUUAAAAGUGACUUCGUAUAGGAGUUACUGCCAAAAGAUGAGCCUAUGCUCUAUUAGCCAGUUGGUGGGGUAAUGGCCUACCAAAGCUAAGAUGGAUAGCCGACCUGAGAGGGUAUACGGCCACAUUGGGACUGACGCACGGCCCAAACUCCUACGGGAGGCAGCAGCUAAGAAUUUUCCGCAAUGGGCGCAAGCCUGAC
Molecule: ribosomal RNA, 305 nt
Filed under: uncultured bacterium
Lineage: Bacteria
Description: bacterial SSU rRNA
Rfam family: Bacterial small subunit ribosomal RNA
Source: RNAcentral